RNAcentral lists this ribosomal RNA (490 nucleotides) under uncultured bacterium. RNAcentral describes it as "bacterial SSU rRNA". It matches the Rfam family "Bacterial small subunit ribosomal RNA", at positions 29 to 511 of the family's 1533-position model. The record is from RNAcentral.
AGCGAACGUUUGCGGCGGGCUUAACACAUGCAAGUCGAACGGGCUGUUCCUUCGGGGGCAGUCAGUGGCGCACGGGUGCGUAACACGUAGGUAAUCAACCCUCUGGUUGGGGAUAACACUUCGAAAGGAGUGCUAAUACCCGGUAUGGCGCAGCGGUCUUCGGAUCGCGGCGAGAAAGACCCGCAAGGGUUGCCAGAGGACGAGCCUGCGGCCCAUCAGCUAGUUGGCGAGGUAACGGCUCACCAAGGCGAAGACGGGUAGCUGGUCUGAGAGGAUGAUCAGCCACACUGGAACUGAGACACGGUCCAGACUCCUACGGGAGGCAGCAGUGGGGAAUAUUGCGCAAUGGGCGAAAGCCUGACGCAGCCACGCCGCGUGAGCGAUGAAGGCCUCGGUCGUAAAGCUCUGUGGGAGGAGAAGAAUAAAGACCUGUGAAGAGCAGGCCUUGACGGUAGUCUCCUUAGCAAGACACCGGCUAACUCCGUGCCAG